GAUGAACGCUGGCGGCGUGCCUAAUACAUGCAAGUCGAGCGAACAGACGAGGAGCUUGCUCCUCUGACGUUAGCGGCGGACGGGUGAGUAACACGUGGAUAACCUACCUAUAAGACUGGGAUAACUUCGGGAAACCGGAGCUAAUACCGGAUAAUAUAUUGAACCGCAUGGUUCAAUAGUGAAAGACGGUUUUGCUGUCACUUAUAGAUGGAUCCGCGCCGCAUUAGCUAGUUGGUAAGGUCACGGCUUACAAAGGCGACGAUGCGUAGCCGACCUGAGAGGGUGAUCGGCCACACUGGAACUGAGACACGGUCCAGACUCCUACGGGAGGCAGCAGUAGGGAAUCUUCCGCAAUGGGCGAAAGCUUGACGGAGCAACGCCGCGUGAGUGAUGAAGGUCUUCGGAUCGUAAAACUCUGUUAUUAGGGAAGAACAAAUGUGUAAGUAACUAUGCACGUCUUGACGGUACCUAAUCAGAAAGCCACGGCUAACUACGUG
This 497-nucleotide ribosomal RNA is filed under the name uncultured bacterium. Its description in RNAcentral is "partial 16S ribosomal RNA". It matches the Rfam family "Bacterial small subunit ribosomal RNA", at positions 28 to 507 of the family's 1533-position model. The record is from RNAcentral.